GUCUACGGCCAUAUCACCCUGAACAUGCCCGAUUUCGUCUGAUCUCAGAAGCUAAGCAGGGUCGGGCCUGGUUAGUACUUGGAUGGGAGAAUAUCAUGAAAUGAAUAAG
RNAcentral lists this ribosomal RNA (109 nucleotides) under Oryctolagus cuniculus (rabbit). Lineage: Eukaryota; Metazoa; Chordata; Mammalia; Lagomorpha; Leporidae. The record is from RNAcentral.